This 852-nucleotide long non-coding RNA is filed under the name Physcomitrium patens. RNAcentral describes it as "long non-coding RNA (PPAT_LNC010820)". Lineage: Eukaryota; Viridiplantae; Streptophyta; Bryopsida; Funariales; Funariaceae. The record is from RNAcentral.
ACUAAAAAUUUAACAUUCAGAUUGCCAGUUAAAAUCAAUGAUUCAUUCAUUAAUUAUUGAGAUUUAAAUCUAUUGUAGGAAUUAUUUGGAUUAUUUAAGAUUUGGUUAGGAUAUAUUUAAGGUUUGAUUAGGAUUUGGUUAAGGUUUGUUUAGAUUUUUUUAGAGUUUGGUUAGGAUUUGGUUAGGAUUUGACUAGGAUUUGGUUAGAUUUUUUUUUAGGAUUUAAUUAGGAUUUGAUUAGCAUUUGUUUAGGAUUUGAUUAGAAUUUGGUUAGGAUUUAUUUAGGAUUUGAUUAGGAUUUAUUUAGAGUUUUAUUAGAAUUUAGUUAGGAUUUGUUAGGAUUUGACUAUGACUUAUUUAGAAUUUAGUUAAGAUUUGUUAGGAUUUGACUAGGACUUAUUUAAAAUUUAGUUAGGAUUUAUUUAGGAUUUGAACAAGAUUUGUUUAGGAUUUGAUUAGAAUUUGGUUAGAAUUUGGUUAGGAUUUAUUUAGGAUUUGAUUAGGAUUUAUUUAGAGUUUGAUUAGAAUUUAGUUAAGAUUUGAUUAGAACUUAUUUAGAAUUUAGUUAGGAUUUGUUAGGAUUUGACUAGGACUUAUUUAGAAUUUAGUUAGGAUUUAUUUAGGAUUUGAAUAAGAUUUGUUUAGGAUUUGAUUAGAAUUUGGUUUAGGUUUAUUUAGGAUUUCUUUAAGAUUUGUUUAGAAUUUGACAAGGAUUUAUUUAGAAUUUGGUUAAGAUUUGACUAGGAUUUAAUUAAGGUAUCUAUUUUAAUAUUUUAUUAUUUUUUCUAUCAUAGUAUAUUUUUGAAUUUCUAUGUUAUUUAUUUAUAAUUUCUUUAAAAGGUCUUUAAGAAU